This 743-nucleotide long non-coding RNA is filed under the name Mustela putorius furo (domestic ferret). Its description in RNAcentral is "lncRNA (ENSMPUG00000027725.1)". The record is from RNAcentral. Lineage: Eukaryota; Metazoa; Chordata; Mammalia; Carnivora; Mustelidae.
UGAGUCCUUUCUUGUUUCUUGAGAAAGGCUUGUAUCACUAUAUACUUUCCUCUCCAGACUGCCUUUGCUCUGUCCCACAGAUUUUGAACAGUUGUGUUUUCAUUAUCAUUUGUAUCCAUGGUUAUUUUUCAAUUCUUCUUUAAUUUCCUGGUUAACCCAUUCAUUCUUAGGAUGCUCUUUACCCACCAUGUAUUACGAUUCUUUCCAACUUUCCUCAUGUGAUUGAGUUCUAGCUUCAGGGCAUUGUGGUCUGAAAAUAUGCAGGGAGUGAUCCCAAUCUUUUGGUACUGGUUGAAACCUGACUUGUGACCCAGAAUGUGAUCUAUUCUGGAGAAUGUUCAAUGCACACUAGAGAAUAAUGUGUAUUCUGUUGCUUAGGGAUAGAAUGUUCUGAAUAUCUUUGAUGUCCAUCUGGUCCAGUGUGUCAUUUAAGGCCUUUAUUUCCUUUUUGAUCAUUUACUUGGAUGAUGUGUUCAUUUCAGUGAGAUAAGAAUAUAUGAAUGAAAGAAUAAAAUACUAAAAGAGUGGAAGAGACCUCAGAAAAAUGUACGCCAACCAAAUCAGAGGAGACCCCAAAUUGGGGGUGAAGAAAAGAGUUUUGGAGAACUGGAAUGAAAAUGGCAGCCUCAAUCUCUCAGAGGAGCUGAAAACUUGGAGCCCCACUCCUCAGUGCGCCCUCAGAGAAAAGCCGUCAAUCCCUCCUGUCUCCCUGGUCUCUGGCCGCACUCCAUGCUCACCCAGCC